Molecule: ribosomal RNA, 741 nt
Filed under: uncultured bacterium
Lineage: Bacteria
Description: bacterial SSU rRNA
Rfam family: Bacterial small subunit ribosomal RNA
Source: RNAcentral
AGAGUUUGAUCAUGGCUCAGAGCGAACGCUGGCGGCAGGCCUAAUACAUGCAAGUCGAACGCGCCUUCGGGUGAGUGGCGGACGGGUGAGUAACGCGUGGGAACGUGCCCUUUGGUUCGGAACAACACAGGGAAACUUGUGCUAAUACCGAAUGUGCCCUUCGGGGGAAAGAUUUAUCGCCAUUGGAGCGGCCCGCGUUGGAUUAGCUAGUUGGUGGGGUAAAGGCCCACCAGGGCUACGAUCCAUAGCUGGUCUGAGAGGAUGAUCAGCCACACUGGGACUGAGACACGGCCCAGACUCCUACGGGAGGCAGCAGUAGGGAAUCUUGCGCAAUGGGCGAAAGCCUGACGCAGCCAUGCCGCGUGAAUGAUGAAGGUCUUAGGAUUGUAAAAUUCUUUCACCGGGGAAGAUAAUGACGGUACCCGGAGAAGAAGCCCCGGCUAACUUCGUGCCAGCAGCCGCGGUAAUACGAAGGGGGCUAGCGUUGCUCGGAAUUACUGGGCGUAAAAGGGCGCGUAGGCGGACAUUUAAGUCGGGGGUGAAAGCCCAGGGCUCAACCCUGGAAUAGCCUUCGAUACUGGAUGUCUUGAGUUCGGGAGAGGUGAGUGGAAUGCCGAGUGUAGAGGUGAAAUUCGUAGAUAUUCGGCGGAACACCAGUGGCGAAGGCGACUCACUGGCCCGAUACUGACGCUGAGGCGCGAAAGCGUGGGGAGCAAACAGGAUUAGAUACCCUAGUAGUCC